This 199-nucleotide long non-coding RNA is filed under the name Nicotiana benthamiana. RNAcentral describes it as "long non-coding RNA (NBEN_LNC038943)". Lineage: Eukaryota; Viridiplantae; Streptophyta; Magnoliopsida; Solanales; Solanaceae. The record is from RNAcentral.
AGAGAGCCACUCCCCUCCAGGUUUACCCAUUCACUUCCAAAAAUCCACCGGGAUCUCGUCAGGCCCGGUAGCUCGACCCCUACUCAUCCUGCGCAACGCCCCUAAGACCUCCUCCACCCUAAUGCGCCUGCAGUACCCAAGGUCUCCAUGACGCUCUGAAUGCCCCAGCUCCCCUAGCUCUAUGCUCCGAUCCCCCUGC